GACGAACGCUGGCGGCGUGCCUAAUACAUGCAAGUUGAGCGAUGAAGAUUGGUGCUUGCCCCAAUUUGAAGAGCAGCGAACGGGUGAGUAACGCGUGGGGAAUCUGCCUUUGAGCGGGGGACAACAUUUGGAAACGAAUGCUAAUACCGCAUAACAACUUUAAACAUAAGUUUUAAGUUUGAAAGAUGCAAUUGCAUCACUCAAAGAUGAUCCCGCGUUGUAUUAGCUAGUUGGUGAGGUAAAGGCUCACCAAGGCGAUGAUACAUAGCCGACCUGAGAGGGUGGUCGACCACAUUGGGACUGGGACACGGCCCAAACUCCUACGGGGGGCAGCAGUAGGGAAUCUUCGGCAAUGGACGAAAGUCUGACCGAGCAACGCCGCGGGAGUGAAGAAGGGUUUCGGAUCGUAAAACUCUGUUGGUAGAGAAGAACGUUGGUGAGGGUGGAAAGCUCAUCAAGUGACGGUAACUACACAGAAAGGGACGGCUAACUACGUG
This 497-nucleotide ribosomal RNA is filed under the name uncultured bacterium. Its description in RNAcentral is "partial 16S ribosomal RNA". It matches the Rfam family "Bacterial small subunit ribosomal RNA", at positions 28 to 507 of the family's 1533-position model. The record is from RNAcentral.